GACGAACGCUGGCGGCGUGCUUAACACAUGCAAGUCGAACGGAAAGGCCCUGCUUUUGUGGGGUGCUCGAGUGGCGAACGGGUGAGUAACACGUGAAUAACCUGCCCUUGACUUUGGGAUAACUUCAGGAAACUGGGGCUAAUACCGGAUAGGAGCUCCUGCUGCAUGAUGGGGGUUGGAAAGUUUCGGCGGUUGGGGAUGGACUCGCGGCUUAUCAGCUUGUUGGUGGGGUAGUGGCUUACCAAGGCUUUGACGGGUAGCCGGCCUGAGAGGGUGACCGGCCACAUUGGGACUGAGAUACGGCCCAGACUCCUACGGGAGGCAGCAGUGGGGAAUAUUGCACAAUGGGCGGAAGCCUGAUGCAGCAACGCCGCGUGCGGGAUGACGGCCUUCGGGUUGUAAACCGCUUUCGCCUGUGACGAAGCGUGAGUGACGGUAAUGGGUAAAGAAGCACCGGCUAACUACGUG
Molecule: ribosomal RNA, 468 nt
Filed under: uncultured bacterium
Lineage: Bacteria
Description: partial 16S ribosomal RNA
Rfam family: Bacterial small subunit ribosomal RNA
Source: RNAcentral